CGGCGGACGGGUGAGUAACACGUGGAUAACCUACCUAUAAGACUGGGAUAACUUCGGGAAACCGGAGCUAAUACCGGAUAAUAUAUUGAACCGCACGGUUCAAUAGUGAAAGACGGUUUUGCUGUCACUUAUAGAUGGAUCCGCGCCGCAUUAGCUAGUUGGUAAGGUAACGGCUUACCAAGGCAACGAUGCGUAGCCGACCUGAGAGGGUGAUCGGCCACACUGGAACUGAGACACGGUCCAG
RNAcentral lists this ribosomal RNA (244 nucleotides) under uncultured Staphylococcus sp. Its description in RNAcentral is "partial 16S ribosomal RNA". It matches the Rfam family "Bacterial small subunit ribosomal RNA", at positions 96 to 334 of the family's 1533-position model. The record is from RNAcentral. Lineage: Bacteria; Bacillati; Bacillota; Bacilli; Caryophanales; Staphylococcaceae.